GACUAACGGCUGGAACCGCCUAAGACACCACCCCAGCCAGCAUGGCCGGCAGGAGCGCACCGCGCUGUCUCCCUCCAGGGAUCCGCACCGCCCUACAAUCCUGCUUUGUGCUGAGAUUGUAGUCCUGCAGGCGUACAACUAACAAGCUGGGUGCAGAUAAGAGACUACAGCUCCCCGCAUCCCAAGCAAAGGUCCCUCCUCUACGGAGCCCCUCCACGCGUCCACUGCGGUUCCGCCGUGCCAAGGGGAGCUUGGCUGUUCACGGGCCUCACCUGCUAGCGAGAAGAUAGCUUGGCCGGGCGGCUGAUCUCACCUUGUAAUUCUGACACUGUGUCUCCCGGGCUUGUCGGCUUCAUGACUUGUGCCCAAAGUUUGAUUUCUCGCAGACCAGGAGGACCCAUUGGACCCCCGGGCUGGCUGCAGGGCCCACACCUGGGUUAGACCUCGCACAGGGACGCUGCUGCCACUGUAAUAAAGCGUGCCUACACGCUUCUGAAACUGGUGUAGGAACAACCUCAGUUCUGUGAAAGGCGGACGCAGCAGGACAGAAUCUCCGUGGACAUCUGUCUGGAGGAGCAAUUUUACUGCGACAUUUUAAAGAAACAAAUUUAAUUGAUUUCCAAGGGUGUCCAUCGCGCUUCCUUCACUGCCUUGAUCAUGUCGGGGUCACCACCUGCGGGGGUUUGUCCUGCAGACCCUGACUCAACGACGGAUGAAUAAUGUACACUGACACAGAUCUUAUGCUUGUCAGUCCUGCUGAGCAUCCAGGCCACUUACAGACUCCAAGAAGAGUCCUGUCAGCCACGGCUCUGACUUGUUGGCCCUCCCGGCAUUUAUUUAGCACACAUUUAAUGACAGAAGUCUCAGGUAAACACCACUAGAAGGUAAUUAUUGUUGCUGAACCCCCGAGUAGAGAGCAAUCAUGCACCAGUGGAUGAUCAGAGGCUGGAAACACUCUUUUUGUAGAACAUACAAAUGGACAUUUCUAAGCACAUUGAGGCCUAUAAUGAAAAAUCAAAUAUCCCACAAUGAAAACUAGAAGGAAGCUAUCUGUGAUAAUGCUUUGUGGUGUAUGGAUUCAUCUCACUGACUGAAACCUGAGUUUUGAUUCACCAGGUUGGAAACACUUUUACUGUAUUAUCUAUGAAGAAACGUUUUUGAGGCCAUUAAGUCCUACACUGAAAAACUGAAUAUACUGCAUUAAACAUUCUAAAGAAGCUAACUGUGAAAAUGCUUUGCAAUGUGUGUAUUUAUCUCACAGAGUUAAACCAUUGUUUUGAUUCAUCAGUUUGGAAACAGUUUCUUUGUAGAAUCUAUGAAGGGACCUUUCAGAGGCCAUUGAGGCCUAUAAUAAAGAAACAAAUAUCCCACAAUAAAACAAGAAACAUAUAGAAACAAGCUGUAUGUGAAAAUGCUUUGUGAUAUCUGGAUUCUUCUCACUGAAUCAAACCUGGGUUUUGAGUCACCAGGUUGGAAACACUUUUUUUGUAAAAUCUAGGAAGGGAAAUUUCUGAGCCCAUUGAGGCACAUAGUGAAAAACCGAGGAUCCUGUGAUAAAAACUAGAAAAACGCAAUAUGUGAAGUUGCUUUGUGAUGUGUGGAUUCGUCUCCCCGAAUGGAAUCUCUGUUUUGAUUCACCAGGUUGGAAACAAUGUUUUUGUAGAAUGUACAAUGAGACAUUUCUGAGUCCAUUUAGGCCUAUACUGAGAAACCCAAUAUCCUGCUAUAAGAAGUAGAAAAAUGCUAUCUGUAAAAAUGCUUUGUGAUGCAUGGAUUCAUCUCACAGAGUUAAAGCUUUGUUUGGAUUCAACAGGUGAAAAACCCUUUUUUACAGAAUCUACAAAAAACAUCUCUGAUCCCAUUGAAGUUUAUAGUGAAAAACAGAAUAUCCUGUGAUAAAAAGUAGAAACAAGCUAUCCGUUGAAAUGCUUUGCAAGGUCUGAAUUCAUCUGACAGAGUUAAACCUCUCUUUUAAUUCAUCAAUUUGGAAACACGCUUUUCUUAGAAUCUAUGAAGAAACAUUUCUGACCCAAUUGAAACCUAUACUGAAAAAUAGAAUAUCCCAAAAUAAAACCAGAGAAAA
Molecule: long non-coding RNA, 2083 nt
Organism: Homo sapiens (human)
Lineage: Eukaryota; Metazoa; Chordata; Mammalia; Primates; Hominidae
Product: long intergenic non-protein coding RNA 662
Source: Ensembl